AUUGAACGCUGGCGGCAUGCUUUACACAUGCAAGUCGAACGGUAACAGGUCUUCGGAUGCUGACGAGUGGCGAACGGGUGAGUAAUGCAUCGGAACGUGCCCAGUCGUGGGGGAUAACGCAGCGAAAGCUGUGCUAAUACCGCAUACGAUCUAUGGAUGAAAGCGGGGGAUCGCAAGACCUCGCGCGAUUGGAGCGGCCGAUGUCAGAUUAGCUAGUUGGUGGGGUGAAGGCCCACCAAGGCGACGAUCUGUAGCUGGUCUGAGAGGACGACCAGCCACACUGGGACUGAGACACGGCCCAGACUCCUACGGGAGGCAGCAGUGGGGAAUUUUGGACAAUGGGCGCAAGCCUGAUCCAGCAAUGCCGCGUGCAGGAAGAAGGCCUCGGGUUGUAAAAUUCUUUCACUCAUGAAGAUAAUGACGGUAAUGAGAGAAGAAGA
Molecule: ribosomal RNA, 440 nt
Filed under: uncultured bacterium
Lineage: Bacteria
Description: bacterial SSU rRNA
Rfam family: Bacterial small subunit ribosomal RNA
Source: RNAcentral